UCUUGCAAGUAUUCAUUUACAUUUUUAUCGUAUUGUAAUCUCUGAGCUCCAGAUUGGGACAGUUUUUACUUUAUUAUAAAAUUGAGAUGCAUUUGCUUGUUUGGUGCGUAGGGAUGUUUGAGAUAGAUUUGUGACCGCCGUUUUGAGGCCAGCUUGCUGGUACCCAAACUGUGUUAGCAUUUUUUAUCUUGGAUAUUUGAGUAUGGCUUACGGGCGUUUAUUGGUUCGAUCUGAGUGUAAGUUACGGUCGCAUGCGACACGUGCUUUUCAAUUAGUUCGGUCCAGUUAAUGCUCUCAUACUCUUUCCCUAUGUAAAAGCCGGUCAUCUAUCCGACCCGUCUUGAAACACGGACCAAGGAGUUUAUCGUGUGCGCAAGUUUUUGGGUGUUUAAAACCUAAAAGCGCAAUGAAAGUAAAUGUUCUCUUUCGAGACUGAUGUGCGAUAUUUUUUUUUCGAAAAAAUUGCAGCAUGGCCCCAUUCUAUCUGUUUACAGAAGGGUGGCGGAAGAGCGUACGCGGUGAGACCCGAAAGAUGGUGAACUAUUCCUGAGCAGGAUGAAGCCAGAGGAAACUCUGGUGGAAGUCCGAAGCGGUUCUGACGUGCAAAUCGAUCGUCUGACUUGGGUAUAGGGGCGAAAGACUAAUCGAACCAUCUAGUAG
RNAcentral lists this ribosomal RNA (660 nucleotides) under Meloidogyne marylandi. RNAcentral describes it as "partial large subunit ribosomal RNA". It matches the Rfam family "Eukaryotic large subunit ribosomal RNA", at positions 437 to 950 of the family's 3401-position model. Lineage: Eukaryota; Metazoa; Nematoda; Chromadorea; Rhabditida; Meloidogynidae. The record is from RNAcentral.